UGUCCCCAAUGGCUUCAGUGGAACGUCCUCUUGGGGAUAUUGGGCACAUAGCUUGCUUGCUGAGAGAGGUCAGUGCUGCUGGGGCUCUGGGGUCAGGCAGGUGCACUGAGCUUGGCUCUCCCCACAGGGCUCGGGGCUGUAACUGCAGUCUUGCAGGAUCCCCGGCAGCAGUGGUAGGAGUGUGAAGUUCCUCUCUUGGAGUCUGGCUCAUACCCCAUACGCAUCUAUCCGUCUGGAUUGUAGAAGACAGCCUUGCUCACUUUAGCCCCUGGGGCUAUAAAAAAAUUAAGUCUGCAUUAAGGAAAAUAGAAAGUGACCUAGUGAUGAUGUAUUUGGAAGGUAGGUUUGGGGGUGGGUAUGAUGGAAGAAUUUAUACUCAGCCACUUUUUGUUUAAAAUUCUGCUGUGUCACAAUAGGAUUGGUGUUGUCCUGGGAGCACUGGUACUUGGGUUUGAUUCCCUGCCCGGCACAGUGGGUUAAGGAUCCGGUUUUGCCACAGUUGAUGCUUAGGUUGAGACUGGGGCUCAGAUCCAAUCCCUGGCUCGGGAGCUCCAUAUGCCGUGGGCCGGCCAAAAGUGAAAAAUAAAGAAGGAAAGAAAGAAAUAAAAAUAAAAUAAAGUGUUGACCUAGUGAAUAGAAGAAACAGCAAGUCGCAUCCUUUAGUUGGGAAAGAGAAAGGAAGUCACGGGGAGAAAAGAGAAGAUGGAUAGAGGGGGAGACAGCACUGUGCUGAAAUUCAGAGAAAAUGCAAUGUCUCUAUGGGAACCGUGCCCAGGACCCUGUCCUGCUGGGAGCCUGCUGGCGGCGGCAGCCAGGAGAGCAGAACGACAAGAUCAGGAGUGCUCCUGUUGUAGGAUACCAUUUGUGUGAUUAAGGAUGGCUCACUGAGGAGUUCCAAUCGUGGCUCAGUGGUUAAUGAAUACGACUAGGAACCAUGAGGUUACAGGUUUCCAUCCCUGUCCUUGCUCAGUGGGUUAAGGAUCCGGUGUUGCCGUGAGCUGUAGUGUAGGUCGCAGAUGCAGCUCGAAUCCUGAGUUGCUGCGGCUCUGGUGUAGGCCAGCAGCUGCAGCUCUGAGUGGACCCCUAGCCUGGAAACCUCCAUGUGCUUCGGGAGCAGCCCUAGAAAAGGCAAAAAAAAAAAAAAAAGGAUGGUUCAUUGAUUUAUUCCCUCUUUUCUUCAACAGCUAUGGAGUCCUGACUAUGUUCUGGACACUCUUAGAAAAGCAUGAAGGAGGCUGCCCGUCCCUGUUGGAUGUGACAGCACCGUGUGGGUGUGUCAGAGCUGAACUCUUGUCUUCGGCCCCCGUGUCUCUCCCAGCCACUCACUCGCCAGGCUUCCAGGGCCAGCUGUCUCAGUAUUCCUUGUUCAGAGUUUUACCUCCUGGGCUGGAUUACAGGUUCCUCGGGAGAGGCUAGACUUCCUAUGUGUUGUCUGUAAUCCUCAGCACAAGACUAAACAUGCAGUUGCACUUGGUAAGCACUUGUGAAUAAAGGAAACAGAGAGGCAGAAUAUUUGCGGAUC
Molecule: long non-coding RNA, 1522 nt
Filed under: Sus scrofa (pig)
Lineage: Eukaryota; Metazoa; Chordata; Mammalia; Artiodactyla; Suidae
Description: lncRNA (ENSSSCG00025055687.1)
Source: RNAcentral